Non-coding RNA from Homo sapiens (human), 148 nucleotides. It matches the Rfam family "Metazoan signal recognition particle RNA". Rfam says of the family: The signal recognition particle (SRP) is a universally conserved ribonucleoprotein. It is involved in the co-translational targeting of proteins to membranes. The record is from Rfam. NCBI's taxonomy places the organism in Eukaryota, Metazoa, Chordata, Mammalia, Primates, Hominidae.
GCCGGGCAUGGUGGUGCAUGCCUGUAAUCCCAGCUACUCGGGAGGCUGAGGCAAGAGAAUCGCUUGAACCCGGGAGGUGGAGGUUGCAGUGAGCCAAGAUCACGCCACUGCACUGCAGCCUGGGCGACAGAGCGAGACUCUGUCUCAA